GUAGGAUAUUUUAUAAUUUAUUUUUUAAAGUUUAUUAUUAUUAUUAUUAUUGGUUGAUCAUACAUGUUUCUAAUUAAUUGGUUACUUAGUGAAGAUAGCUGUUGCUAUUUUAUUAGCAUUAUUACUCAUCAAUCCUAUUUACUUGUGCACAAUUCGGUUACCGUCUUAAUAAAUAAAAUCAUGAUUUGGCUUGAAGAUUAAUAUAGUGCAACGUUAACAUAUCAUAGGAGGUAUGACCUAUAUAUAAGGGUUCUCUAGAAGCAAAACAAGAUAGAUGAUUAUAAACCACACAAAUAUAAUAUAAUACUUAGUUCCCAUGAGCAUCCAAAAAGUGGUUCUUGAGACCUUGCUAAUUCACGUGCAGUGCUAGCAAGAAGUGACUGUUGUAUCCUGGAGGGUAUUAGCUAUGAGACCAACUGCACCGGGUAAUUUACCUGUGGUGGCGAAAUACUCUUAAGCCCAGUGCAUUGCACGCCUCAGUCAAUAAUGCG
Molecule: long non-coding RNA, 491 nt
Filed under: Trifolium pratense (red clover)
Lineage: Eukaryota; Viridiplantae; Streptophyta; Magnoliopsida; Fabales; Fabaceae
Description: long non-coding RNA (TPRA_LNC005950)
Source: RNAcentral